This 425-nucleotide ribosomal RNA is filed under the name uncultured bacterium. RNAcentral's name for it is "bacterial SSU rRNA". It matches the Rfam family "Bacterial small subunit ribosomal RNA", at positions 356 to 773 of the family's 1533-position model. The record is from RNAcentral.
AGGGAAUCUUCGGCAAUGGACGGAAGUCUGACCGAGCAACGCCGCGUGAGUGAAGAAGGUUUUCGGAUCGUAAAGCUCUGUUGUUAGAGAAGAAUGAUGGUGGGAGUGGAAAAUCCACCAUGUGACGGUAACUAACCAGAAAGGGACGGCUAACUACGUGCCAGCAGCCGCGGUAAUACGUAGGUCCCGAGCGUUGUCCGGAUUUAUUGGGCGUAAAGCGAGCGCAGGCGGUUCUUUAAGUCUGAAGUUAAAGGCAGUGGCUCAACCAUUGUACGCUUUGGAAACUGGAGAACUUGAGUGCAGAAGGGGAGAGUGGAAUUCCAUGUGUAGCGGUGAAAUGCGUAGAUAUAUGGAGGAACACCGGUGGCGAAAGCGGCUCUCUGGUCUGUAACUGACGCUGAGGCUCGAAAGCGUGGGGAGCAAAC